This is a long non-coding RNA of Felis catus (domestic cat), 485 nucleotides long. RefSeq lists it as uncharacterized. The transcript has 3 exons. NCBI's taxonomy places the organism in Eukaryota, Metazoa, Chordata, Mammalia, Carnivora, Felidae. The record is from RefSeq and is a predicted model, not a curated record.
ACUUUGAGAGAGACAAAGAGAGCGUGAGCAGGGGAGGCGCAGAGAGAGAAGGAGAGAGAGAGAAUCCCAAGCAGGCUCCAUGAGGGAGGAGACCCUUCUCCAUCACACUGGUUCCCACCAUCGAGAGGAGACAUGCUGGGCAGAUUCACGGCCAGUCCUCACAGCGGUGGAGAGAUACAGACAAAUUCCACACAUGACCGUGGCCUUUGUGACGCGUGGACAGAUCUGGUCCUCCCUGCUGCCCUGAAGACACCGCACUCUCCCCAGCGAGGCUGCCUGAGCUCGGUGAGAAAUGGUCCCGAGGAAUCAGGAGGCUGUGGGCAUUUUCCUACCGCUGGCUGCCCGCGAUUCGGACGCACCGUGCCACGGACAGGGACAGUAAUGAAAAAGAAGAAACACAAAUGAAGUGAAUGGCCGGUCGCCUCAGGCAAAUGUCCCCUGCAGUUGCUGGUACUGUGAAAAAUAAAAAAAGUCAGCAAUCAAAA